Molecule: ribosomal RNA, 468 nt
Filed under: uncultured bacterium
Lineage: Bacteria
Description: partial 16S ribosomal RNA
Rfam family: Bacterial small subunit ribosomal RNA
Source: RNAcentral
GACGAACGCUGGCGGCGGGCUUAACACAUGCAAGUCGAACGGAAAGGCCCUGCUUGUGUGGGGUGCUCGAGGGGCGAACGGGUGAGUAACACGUGAGUAACCUGCCCUUGACUGGGGGAUAACUGCAGGAAACUGGGGCUAAUACCGGAGAGGAGCUCCUGCUGCAGGGUGGGGGUUGGAAAGUUUCGGCGGUGGGGGAUGGACGCGCGGCUUAUCAGCUUGUGGGGGGGGUAGUGGCUUACCACGGCUUUGACGGGUAGCCGGCCUGAGAGGGUGACCGGCGACAUUGGGCCUGAGGUACGGCCCAGUCUGCUACGGGGGGCAGCGGUGGGGAAUAUUGCCCAGUGGGCGGAAGCCUGUUGAGGCAACGCCGCGUGUGGGAUGACGGCCUUCGGGUUGUAAACCGCUUUCACCUGUGACGAAGCGUGAGUGACGGUAAUGGGUAAAGAAGCACCGGCUAACUACGUG